ACCGAGCAAUUUGAAAGAGUUUUGGUGAUUGCAAGAGCUCCGCCAAGCUGUAGCCCUCAAUGUGGUAAGCCUAGCCUUGAAUCCUGAUUCCCAAUUCAUUUUUGUCUUCAAUUUCACGGAUUGAAAUCUUACUUGGUUUCUCCCUCUUCUGCAACUUCACCACCAUGUAUGUCGUCGUCCUCCUCCGCCAUCUCAACGGUGUAGUGGAGCCCUAGCAGCAUUUAAAACAUAUUAUGAGUUGAACCCAGAAACCUCAUAACUCGCUAGGAGUCUUGGAAGAAGAUUGAAGCAACUAGAGCGGCUCAAAACCGAUCCUGGAAGAGUACGACAUGACUGGUCAUCUUCAUUUCUAUUUGUGAAGAGAAGAUGUUUCGAGCAAGCAUGAUCGUUUGAAACUUAGAGCAGCAGUGCAACUAUGUGUUGAGAUUUGGAUAUUGGCUAGGAUUCUGCAUAUCAUUCCAGGUCGGCUUGGUUCCUUCGUUGUUUCAAUUAAAGGAAGCCAGGACUAGCUAGCAUUAAAGUAAGGUCCGAUAGUUAAGCAAGAACAACCUGACUGGACUUGCAGAUCGAACGUACACAAUGCUACUAUAUAUAUGUAAGCUGUCGUCUGUCGAUGAGGUGAACAGGACCGCACCAUCAUAUUUGUAAAACUUGCUAAGAGAGAGAUGAAUGGGUGCAGCUUGUUACAGAGGCUAUUUGCUCUGGUAUAUUCAAUGACUUGGGAAGUGAUAGCAAUGUCAAUAUAUGUGUAAAAACUAAGGUUCAGGGCAAUAAAGAAUUUAUGCGGAACCAUUUGAAGCCUACCCCUCGAACCUAUAUCAGCCCCAAAGAAUACUUAUUCACCAAGAAGACAUGUCAAAUUCUGUCGCCUUAUUUUUCUUGAUAUGACCACAAAAUGUUUAAUUAGUGUCAUACACCACUUUCAUUUAAUAAGAGCUACCGUCAUUUGUCUAUGUCUCUCAUAUAGGAAACUCAUGUCUUCACUUCAUGAUAACUUUUGGUUUGCCGCUGCUAUUAUCACAUAGGUUAUCUGGGAGCAGCUUCGAUAGUUGAAUAAGCAGAUUGAGUUGGAGCUUGACUCUGGAGCCAAACCCGCGCAUCCACCGGUCACUGGCCUCAUUGCUUAUGUUUUGGGUUCAUUUCUUUGGAAAAUAGUUUUUUAUAGAUUGAUUAGGACCAAGUAUGUAUUGUUUUAUAUAUGUAUCCUUA
Argentina anserina (silverweed cinquefoil) is the source of this 1209-nucleotide long non-coding RNA. RefSeq lists it as uncharacterized. The transcript is spliced from 7 exons. Lineage: Eukaryota; Viridiplantae; Streptophyta; Magnoliopsida; Rosales; Rosaceae. The record is from RefSeq and is a predicted model, not a curated record.